UUUUGCUAUGGUGAUUAGAGGAAAAAGGCAUUAGCCUUGCCGAAGGAUGAGUCUGCGUCUGAUUAGCUAGUUGGUGUGGUAAUGGCGCACCAAGGCGACGAUCAGUAGCCGGCCUGAGAGGGUGACCGGCCACAUUGGGACUGAGACACGGCCCAGACUCCUACGGGAGGCAGCAGCUAAGAAUCUUCCGCAAUGGGCGCAAGCCUGACGGAGCGACGCCGCGUGGGUGAAGAAUGCCGAGAGGUUGUAAAACCCUUUUCUUACAGAAGAAUAAUAAUCGGAGGUAAUGCCGGUUAGAUGACGUUAUGUAAGGAAUAAGCACCGGCCAAUUACGUG
Molecule: ribosomal RNA, 336 nt
Filed under: uncultured bacterium
Lineage: Bacteria
Description: bacterial SSU rRNA
Rfam family: Bacterial small subunit ribosomal RNA
Source: RNAcentral